CACUCCUACGGGAGGCAGCAGUAGGGAAUCUUCGGCAAUGGGGGCAACCCUGACCGAGCAACGCCGCGUGAGUGAAGAAGGUUUUCGGAUCGUAAAGCUCUGUUGUAAGUCAAGAACGAGUGUGAGAGUGGAAAGUUCACACUGUGACGGUAGCUUACCAGAAAGGGACGGCUAACUACGUGCCAGCAGCCGCGGUAAUACGUAGGUCCCGAGCGUUGUCCGGAUUUAUUGGGCGUAAAGCGAGCGCAGGCGGUUUGAUAAGUCUGAAGUUAAAGGCUGUGGCUCAACCAUAGUUCGCUUUGGAAACUGUCAAACUUGAGUGCAGAAGGGGAGAGUGGAAUUCCAUGUGUAGCGGUGAAAUGCGUAGAUAUAUGGAGGAACACCGGUGGCGAAAGCGGCUCUCUGGUCUGUAACUGACGCUGAGGCUCGAAAGCGUGGGGAGCGAACAGGAUUAGAAACCCCUGUAGUCCCAUGAU
RNAcentral lists this ribosomal RNA (476 nucleotides) under uncultured organism. RNAcentral describes it as "partial 16S ribosomal RNA". It matches the Rfam family "Bacterial small subunit ribosomal RNA", at positions 334 to 801 of the family's 1533-position model. The record is from RNAcentral.